RNAcentral lists this ribosomal RNA (804 nucleotides) under uncultured organism. RNAcentral's name for it is "SSU rRNA". It matches the Rfam family "Bacterial small subunit ribosomal RNA", at positions 39 to 831 of the family's 1533-position model. The record is from RNAcentral.
GCUACAGGCUUAACACAUGCAAGUCGAGGGGCAGCAUUUCAGUUUGCUUGCAAACUGGAGAUGGCGACCGGCGCACGGGUGAGUAACACGUAUCCAACCUGCCGAUAACUCGGGGAUAGCCUUUCGAAAGAAAGAUUAAUACCCGAUAGUAUAAUUAGACCGCAUGGUCUUAUUAUUAAAGAAUUUCGGUUAUCGAUGGGGAUGCGUUCCAUUAGGCAGUUGGUGAGGUAACGGCUCACCAAACCUUCGAUGGAUAGGGGUUCUGAGAGGAAGGUCCCCCACAUUGGAACUGAGACACGGUCCAAACUCCUACGGGAGGCAGCAGUGAGGAAUAUUGGUCAAUGGGCGCAGGCCUGAACCAGCCAAGUAGCGUGAAGGAUGACUGCCCUAUGGGUUGUAAACUUCUUUUAUAUGGGAAUAAAGUUUUCCACGUGUGGAAUUUUGUAUGUACCAUAUGAAUAAGGAUCGGCUAACUCCGUGCCAGCAGCCGCGGUAAUACGGAGGAUCCGAGCGUUAUCCGGAUUUAUUGGGUUUAAAGGGAGCGUAGGUGGACAGUUAAGUCAGUUGUGAAAGUUUGCGGCUCAACCGUAAAAUUGCAGUUGAUACUGGCUGUCUUGAGUACAGUAGAGGUGGGCGGAAUUCGUGGUGUAGCGGUGAAAUGCUUAGAUAUCACGAAGAACUCCGAUUGCGAAGGCAGCUCACUGGACUGCAACUGACACUGAUGCUCGAAAGUGUGGGUAUCAAACAGGAUUAGAUACCCUGGUAGUCCACACAGUAAACGAUGAAUACUCGCUGUUUGCGAUA